Non-coding RNA from Trichosporon asahii var. asahii CBS 2479, 110 nucleotides. The record is from the annotation of a RefSeq genome assembly. Lineage: Eukaryota; Fungi; Basidiomycota; Tremellomycetes; Trichosporonales; Trichosporonaceae.
UCUUCGCUAGUAUAUCGGUUAGUAUAAUCGCCUCUCAAACGGGAGAUCCUGGAGCAUCUCGAGCUCACAAGGGUGCGCGAUAGAGCAGGGUUCGACUCCCUGGCGGAGAA